Wyeomyia smithii (pitcher-plant mosquito) is the source of this 1060-nucleotide long non-coding RNA. RefSeq lists it as uncharacterized. Lineage: Eukaryota; Metazoa; Arthropoda; Insecta; Diptera; Culicidae. The record is from RefSeq and is a predicted model, not a curated record. The transcript is spliced from 2 exons.
UUUUAGCUGCAGACGGUGUUAUGAACAGAUACGCAAAGAGUGUCGUCGAAAACUCCAAGUGAACCGUCAAAUCGAGGCUCCAAGUGUGCAAAGUAAAGAAACUCAGGAGUGUUACUUUUCGUACAGAAUGUGUGUUGUAAUCAGUAUAAAUGUUGUGAACCACGUGCAAUUAUGGUUUGAACGGAAAAUGUGUUUAUUAUGCUCGUAUUAUGAGUGAUACAUUGAAAAUAAAAAAAAAGUAUAAACAAACUUUGAAACUCAGUAAUAUAUCCUUACAAAGUUUCGGAAUUUCAUUACACUUUCUAGUGCGUAUGAAAAGUCAUGCAAAAUUAAAUGUGGUUGCCAGAAUUGUUUGGAAUAGAAUAUUAGCAAAGGGUUGCCAUAUUUACUGCUUUUCUCUUUGCGUAUCUCUAUACAACAGUCCCUACACGCUGCUUUAUUUUAACUCUAAUUUGAUUAGGAUCUACUCAGUUUGGUAUUCUUAUGCAAAAUUUCAAAAAGGGAGUUAUCGGGGACUGGAUAAUUGAGUAACAUUUACUAAAAUUUUCAUAAUUACCAUGUUUACUCAGUUUUGAGUUAUUAUCCAUGAUGUUUACUCACCCCUGAGUAUAUGUAUAUGUCAAAAGUUUUCAACAGCGAUAUUAUCUGUUUCCGAAAAACAAUUGGUGUCGCUUUUUAUUCGUUUGCUAGCACUCAACAUCAUUAUUGCAGAGGAUUUGAAAACAUAAAAAACAUCUCUUCAAAAUGAACAACCGCAUGUUGUGUGUCCUGCGAUGCCGUUUUAAGUCAGGCUUUUAUUCGUGAUAAUGAACGGAAACAUUUGUAUCGAUGUACAGUGCCCAAUACAUGCAAUCGAUACAAUAUAAAUCCUUCGCAGUGUUUGGUGACGGAUGAUGACGGAUUUUCUGGUGUGCGUACUGUACAAAAACAUGAGCCACAGUUCACGGGCAACUGUGAACCGGUUGGUUGCCGCAUUAUAUAAAGACACGUGAAUGAUUUAAAACUUUUAUAAUGUUUCGAUGAAAAAUAAAUCUGUUUUGAUUGUUCUGAAUUUAUUUUA